RNAcentral lists this ribosomal RNA (274 nucleotides) under uncultured bacterium. Its description in RNAcentral is "partial 16S ribosomal RNA". It matches the Rfam family "Bacterial small subunit ribosomal RNA", at positions 524 to 796 of the family's 1533-position model. The record is from RNAcentral.
UACAGAGGGUGCGAGCGUUGUUCGGAAUUACUGGGCGUAAAGCGCGCGCAGGCGGCUCUUUAAGUCUGUCGGUCAAACGCCGGGGCUCAACCCCGUGCUCGCCGGAGAUACUGGAGGGCUGGAGACAUGUAGAGGCAAGCGGAAUUCCGGGUGUAGCGGUGGAAUGCGUAGAGAUCCGGAAGAACACCGGAGGCGAAGGCGGCUUGCUGGGCAUGGUCUGACGCUGAGGCGCGAAAGCGUGGGGAGCGAACAGGAUUAGAUACCCCUGUAGUCC